RNA transcript from Alnus glutinosa, 1481 nucleotides. It is a transcript of the gene named soluble inorganic pyrophosphatase 6, chloroplastic-like, with no coding region annotated. NCBI's taxonomy places the organism in Eukaryota, Viridiplantae, Streptophyta, Magnoliopsida, Fagales, Betulaceae. The record is from RefSeq and is a predicted model, not a curated record. The transcript is spliced from 7 exons.
UAUGCGCGACUGUCGUCGACACCAACGGCUAUUGGUUGUAAAGAAAAGUUAGGUCACAGGCACGGAUGGCUGCUAUGGCUGCGAGAGUGGUGGUUGCAGCAGGAAACCAUGGCCGUCUAACGACGCCGUAUUUCUUUCUCCUCAGACCAUUCUCCGUCACAAGCACAAGCACAAGCAGAGCUCUUCGUCUGAAUCCUAAUCUCAAGGGAUGGCCCAGGAGGCGCUUCACUUGCCGAGCUGUCUACAAUCCGGAGGAGGUUCUGAUCAAAGAGGAAGGCCAGCCCGAAACCCUGGAUUACCGCGUCUUUCUUGUCAAUCACUCCGGCAAAAAGUUAUCUCCUUGGCACGAUAUACCGUUGCGCUUGGGCAAUGGGAUUUUUAAUUUUAUCGUUGAGAUACCUAAAGAUACAUGCGCAAAAAUGGAGGUUGCUACUGAUGAGCCAUACACUCCUAUAAAGCAGGACACGAAGAAGGGAAAACUUCGUUACCAUCCCUACAACAUAAAUUGGAACUACGGACUGCUUCCUCAGACUUGGGAAGACCCGUCAUUUGCAAACUCUGAAGUUGAUGGAGCAUUAGGAGAUAAUGAUCCAGUUGAUGUUGUCGAGAUUGGAGAGAGGCAGGCACAAAUUGGUCAAAUCCUUAAGGUCAAGCCACUAGCUGCUUUAGCUAUGAUUGAUGAGGGGGAGCUUGAUUGGAAAAUAGUUGCGAUUUCAUUGGAUGACCCAAGAGCUUCCCUUGUGAAUGAUGUUGAUGAUGUCGAGAAACAUUUUCCGGGUACUCUCAUUGCAAUCAGGGAUUGGUUUAGAGAUUACAAAAUCCCAGAUGGAAAACCUGCUAGCAGAUUUGGUCUUGGCAACAAGGCAGCAAACAAGGAUUAUGCUUUAAAGGUCAUCAAUGAGACAAAUGAGUCUUGGGCUAAGCUAAUCAAGAGAUCUACCCCUGCUGACAAUCUUUCACUUGUGUAAAUUUAAUCAACACAGUUGGCUGAUUAUGCUGCUGCUGCUAAUUGACACAUCACAAGAUUUUUCUUGUUUCUUCUACUUGUAUCUGACAUGUUCUGGAACAUUGGAUAUUGAAUGGCAUUUGAAAUUAUUGGAAUUGUUUUGUGGUACAAACUAUGAUGUCUUGGUGAUUAGACUUUUUAUAGUUGCCAUCUCAAAUUCCUUUGGGCCUUCCAGAACAGUUGCCCCUGAAUUUCAGCAGCAGUCUCUGGAAUUCUACACAAGUUCUAUCCUUGCACCGUUAGAGACGGUUUAAGAAAUUCCUGAGGGUGGUCAAUCUAUGCGAAGACUUUUACUAGGUCUAUUUUCUGGGGGUCAUGUACGGCUCCCUGCACCUAUUUGAAAGAAGACUGCUUCAUAGACCGAACUCCUUCCUCCUUAGGCAGCUGGCUCAAGUUUCUCUUCUCUUCUCUGGAGUGAGCAACCUGCAUGUUUAUCAAAACAGGGUGGUAAUUCGUGUUCGUUUGUUGAGGUAUG